UACGAGGGGUCCUAGCGUUGUUCGGAAUCAUUGGGCGUAAAGGGUGCGUAGGUUGCUAUUCAAGUCAGUUGUGAAAUCCCCGGGCUCAACCCGGGAAGUGCUUCUGAUACUGUUUAGCUUGAGUACUGGAGAGGAUAGUAGAAUUCCAGGUGUAGUGGUGAAAUACGUAGAUAUCUGGAGGAAUACCGGCGGCGAAGGCGGCUAUCUGGCCAUGUACUGACACUGAAGCACGAAAGCGUGGGUAGCAAACAGG
This 253-nucleotide ribosomal RNA is filed under the name uncultured bacterium. RNAcentral's name for it is "partial 16S ribosomal RNA". It matches the Rfam family "Bacterial small subunit ribosomal RNA", at positions 524 to 776 of the family's 1533-position model. The record is from RNAcentral.